This 600-nucleotide ribosomal RNA is filed under the name uncultured bacterium. RNAcentral describes it as "bacterial SSU rRNA". The stretch from base 1 to 432 matches the Rfam family "Bacterial small subunit ribosomal RNA", at positions 105 to 546 of the family's 1533-position model. The record is from RNAcentral.
GGUGAGUAAUUGCUAGGGAAACUGCCUGAUGGAGGGGGAUAACUACUGGAAACGGUAGCUAAUACCGCAUAACGUCGCAAGACCAAAGAGGGGGACCUUCGGGCCUCUUGCCAUCAGAUGUGCCCAGAUGGGAUUAGCUAGUAGGUGGGGUAACGGUCACCUAGGCGACGAUCCCUAGCUGGUCUGAGAGGAUGACCAGCACACUGGAACUGAGACACGGUCCAGACUCCUACGGGAGGCAAGUGGGGAAUAUUGGACAAUGGGCGCAAGCCUGAUGCAGCAUGCCGGUGUAUGAAGAAGGCCUUCGGGUUGUAAAAGUACUUUCAGCGGGGAGGAAGGUGUAGGGUUAAAUAACCAAGAAUUGACGUUAACCGGAGAAGAAAGGCAACCGGGUUAACUGCCGGUGCCAAGCAAGCCCGGGGGGCAAUAACCGGAGGGGUCGCAAAGGCCGUUCAANCCGGGAAUUCACUUGGGCGUAAAGCGCACAGCAAGGCAGGGACUUGCACAAGUACGGAUAGUCGAAAUCCCCACAGGGUCAAAAACCCNUGGGGGAAACAACUUGGGAAUUUCCCAGAAAAACCUUGGGGCCAAGGGCUCAAC